AACUGUGUGGAGGUAUAGGUGU
RNAcentral lists this non-coding RNA (22 nucleotides) under Mus musculus (house mouse). Lineage: Eukaryota; Metazoa; Chordata; Mammalia; Rodentia; Muridae. The record is from RNAcentral. RNAcentral also lists the same sequence under 1 other name.